RNAcentral lists this long non-coding RNA (617 nucleotides) under Setaria viridis. Its description in RNAcentral is "long non-coding RNA (SVIR_LNC008584)". The record is from RNAcentral. Lineage: Eukaryota; Viridiplantae; Streptophyta; Magnoliopsida; Poales; Poaceae.
CCUCUCAUCUUGUUAAAAGGAAGAUCAUAAAUCACCACAAUAUUGUAGCAUGCAUCAAUUUGGUUUGGUGUGAGCCUUGAGAUGGUGAACUCUACUUGGUGCUAGUAGUCAGUAGCCUCUUUUGCCUUGUGCAGCUUCAGCGUAUAUAUUAUAACUAAUUGAGUGCCUCCAAAGGCCAAAUACAGGGUUAGGUGAAAUUGUGUGGUGCUUUUUGCUGUGUUUGGUUUAGGUAUCAUGUUCUAAGCAUUGGAGUCUAUUCUAAUGACAGUGCUUGGGCUUGGCUGUUGAGUUGCACAUGAUGCUAUGUAUAUUGCUGAUCCUGUGCCAGCCAUUUUCUCAGCAAAAAAUGUUUCUUUCUGGCAGGUACAGUAGCUCUGUAAAGCAUGGAUGAGGAGGAGAAACAUCUGCAAGCAACACUGGAGAGUGGUAAAGUUGUUACUGAUUUAUAGCAUAUGAGAUGAGGGAAUCCUUGCAAAGCUUAAGCAGAAGCAGAAGCAUAAGCAGUCGCUAUCAUGGGAUACCUGUUACCUAAUGCUUGCUACUCCACAUGGUUCCCUCAGGGAUCAGACUGCUGGUUUAGUGACAGCAGCCCUUACUGUUCAGGUCGCUCUUCUCUC